RNAcentral lists this long non-coding RNA (1906 nucleotides) under Triticum aestivum (bread wheat). RNAcentral describes it as "long non-coding RNA (TAES_LNC000708)". Lineage: Eukaryota; Viridiplantae; Streptophyta; Magnoliopsida; Poales; Poaceae. The record is from RNAcentral.
UUAUAUACAAUGCUCAACUGUUAUCCACAAACAGUAUCAAGAUGAACACAUUGCACAAUCAUUAAUAAAAUGGUAACAAAAUUACACACACACACACAUAUAUAUUGUUCGCAGGUUCAAGCACAAGUCAAUCUUCACAAAAGCAAAGCUUGGCCAUCUUGGCAACCAUCCAGAAAACACAAGUCACAUAAAAGGACCCCUAUUCACUGGUCUAAAAUAGUUCAAACACUAGAUGGUCCAAAUAAUUGAGUAACAUCCAUGAGCACAAGAUUUCUACUCCAUAACACUUGAGCACCAAAUGGUCCAGAAAACACAUAAGAUUCACGAUUACAAUUAAGUUGGCUGGUCCAAAAUACUGUAGACAGCCAAAUGCUCCAGAACACUUCAAAGUCAUCACAUCCAUGCGUACUAGGUUGCUGAUUACCUGAAAAUACUCCACAAGAAUUUGGUAGAAAGUGGAGUCAGCUCAAGUGCUUUGAAGCUCAUAGGGAGAUUGGCAGCCGAGAGAAGCACAAGAAUUAACUAUUUAUGACAUAUAUCCAUAACACACAUAACAUAGUUCGGUCAUACAUGAGGUCAAAUAUUUAUAAAAUGCUGAAACGAAUCAUCAUGCAGACAUAUCUACAUAUGCAUAGAAUAAGUAUUUCGCCAUGGCAAGCAUAUCUACAAAUUUUAUUCAACGUCUUACAUGCAAGAAAAUGUAGUAGGAUAAGCCAAUGUGAAGUUGUAUUUGUUCUAAUACGAAGUUAGCUGAUGUGAUCUUCAAAGUUUGAAAAUAAUGGUACAAAUAAGUGUUAGUACGUUAUCUGAUGAAGUAGAACUAAAAUGUACAAGUUCUGACCAAAAAAAUUGUAAUAUGUGAAGUUCAGUUUAUGCCAUGUGAUUUUCAGAUUGUGACCACCAAAGGGAUAACGCCAAACUAAUGUGUGUAUGUUUAACUCCUAAGCAAUGUAUGUGCGCUUCAAAUCAUGUUGUGUCAUUUUCAUAUUUUUAAUUAUAAACUGCAGUAUGUGGAGUUUUAUCAACAAGAUACAAAACAUAUCUAGUAAUGCUAUAAGUUCAGGCAGAAAUCUGGCUCUCUAGUCAAGGCUCAAAAUGAUCUAUGUAUAUUUCUAAGAGAGAAAUAAUAAACUUAAUGUAUGUCAUAUGUUUAGUACCUGCACCUGGUACAUUAGUUGCCUUCUUGUCAUCCUUGAUCUACAACAAUAACCGUGAAAUAGCAGGUGCCUUCUUAUCAGUUUGAGGCUACUUCUUCCACUGCAAAUUGCUCUGACAAAAUGUGUAGACAUGUAUCAACCAUCCUGCAAAAAAGGAAAAAUGUGUUCAAUAUAGAUAACUCGACUUCCCAUAAAUCAAAUCAUAAAGUAAAGGCCAAAGGUCUGCAAGUUAUGUACUUGGUUAGUAUAAUGAAUGAACUUGUCAAAAGAACAAAUAUUAUGCCAUCAACCAGAAUGAACACAAACAUCUCAUAAAAGUACAUUGAAAGUCUGAAUUCUGAAACUAUCUAGCCACUGCACUAAGGCGGCCUCUAAGGUUUGAAUGUGAUCGGAACUUGCAACUCCCCUCUGGAAACCAUAUCCAGCUUCAAGUAGUUGAAGGUAUGUGGAUGCAGAGGAAGAUGAGAUUAUAUGUUGAACCUAAGGUUUGAAUGCUAAUGCCAUAUUCAUGAAAAAGGAAAACUUCACCGUGCUCACAUAAAAAAAUUAUAUCAAACGAAGACACCGUUAUUCAUAAAUAUCCAGUGUAUUCAAAAGUGAUGGAGAAUAAAAUUGGAAUGUGCCUCCUCAAACGCUGACUGGACUCAGGGUCCACCUCGGCGCCCUCCGCUCGCCCACCUCCCGUCCUCGUUGACAGGUAGUACCACGGACUUGCUGCCCUGUAGGCUCAACAUCAUGUACAACCGCUC